This 1242-nucleotide ribosomal RNA is filed under the name Brachyrhynchus triangulus. RNAcentral's name for it is "16S ribosomal RNA". The stretch from base 813 to 1175 matches the Rfam family "Archaeal large subunit ribosomal RNA", at positions 2150 to 2716 of the family's 2987-position model. Lineage: Eukaryota; Metazoa; Arthropoda; Insecta; Hemiptera; Aradidae. The record is from RNAcentral.
UUAAUUAUUUAUUUACUAUUAUUUGUUAUUGCGUUUUAAUUAAUUGAAUCAUCAUGUGUUUUAGUAUUGUUAUAGAAUUAAUUAUUUUAGUUAUAGUUGAUUUGUACUGUGAGGGAUUAUUUUUAUUUUGAUUUAAGUAUAAUUAUUUAGUACCUUUUGCAUCAGGGCUUAUUAAAUUUAAUUAUUUAUUAUAAUUUUCCCGAAAUCAAGUUAGAUAAAUGAUAAUGUUGGUUUUUGUUAUAAAACAAUCUAUAAUUGUUAUUUAGUAGUGAUAUGCUAUUCAACCUUGAAUAUCUGGUUCUUUUAGAAUUAUAUUUAAUAUAGGAUUAUUGAAUGUUUUAAGAAUUUAAUUUAUUAAUAAUCUUAAUCUGUUGGGGAUUAGCUCGAUAGAUUUUAUAUAACUGAUUUUAAUUAAAUGUGAGUGUAGUAGGCUUGAUAAUUGUCAUUUAAGUUGUUAUAAUUGUUCUUGUAUUAGUUUUUAUUUUGUAUAGUUUAUAUUUUUAUAAAAGUUAGGUUUUUAAUUGUUUAUUACUUGUAAUUAUGAUAGGAUUAGUAGUUUUGUAAAUUAAAUUAUAGUAAUUCGGCAAAUAUAACCUCCGCCUGUUUAACAAAAACAUGGUCUAUUGUGUAUUUAUUUUAGAUCUGGCCUGCCCAAUGAUUAUUUAUUUAAUGGCCGCAGUAUAUUGACUGUGCAAAGGUAGCAUAAUAAUUUGUCUUUUAAUUGGAGGCUUGUAUGAAUGGUUGGACGAGAGGUUUUCUUUCUUUAAUUUAAUUAAUUAAUUUAACUUUUAAGUUAAAAGGCUUAAAUGAUUUUGAUGGACGAGAAGACCCUAUAGAAUUUUAUAUUAAUAAUGUUAUUGAGAUUAUUUUUUUUAUUAAUUAUUUUGAUUAAUAUUUUGUUGGGGUGACAAGGUAAUUUCAUUAACUUACCUUUAUUGAAUUUCAUUAAUUUAUGUAUAGUUGAUCCUUUAUUAUGGGUUAUAAGAUUAAAUUACCUUAGGGAUAACAGCGUAAUUCUUUUGGAGAGUUCAUAUCGAUGAAGGAGAUUGCGACCUCGAUGUUGGAUUAAAAUUAGUGUUAGGUGUAGCAGCUUGAUAACUUGGUCUGUUCGACCAUUGAAUUUUUACAUGAUCUGAGUUCAGACCGGCGUGAGCCAGGUUGGUUUCUAUCCUCAAAUUAUUUAUUAUUUUAGUACGAAAGGACCGAAUAAUAGGAAUAAUUCUUUAAUUUAUUGGAUAAUGC